This 311-nucleotide ribosomal RNA is filed under the name Allobosea sp. Its description in RNAcentral is "partial 23S ribosomal RNA". It matches the Rfam family "Bacterial large subunit ribosomal RNA", at positions 2603 to 2925 of the family's 2925-position model. The record is from RNAcentral. Lineage: Bacteria; Pseudomonadati; Pseudomonadota; Alphaproteobacteria; Hyphomicrobiales; Alloboseaceae.
AGUUGGGUUCAGAACGUCGUGAGACAGUUCGGUCCCUAUCUGCCGUGGGUGUAGGAAAAUUGAGAGGAUCUGUCCUUAGUACGAGAGGACCGGGAUGGACGUACCUCUGGUGGACCUGUUGUGGCGCCAGCCGCAUUGCAGGGUAGCUACGUACGGACGGGAUAACCGCUGAAAGCAUCUAAGCGGGAAACCCACCUCGAAACGAGUUUUCCCUUGAGAGUCGUGGUAGACCACCACGUCGAUAGGCCGGGUGUGGAAGUGCGGCAACGCAUGCAGCUUACCGGUACUAAUCACUCGAUCGGCUUGAUCGC